RNAcentral lists this ribosomal RNA (189 nucleotides) under uncultured bacterium. RNAcentral describes it as "partial 16S ribosomal RNA". It matches the Rfam family "Bacterial small subunit ribosomal RNA", at positions 338 to 524 of the family's 1533-position model. The record is from RNAcentral.
CUUACGGGAGGCAGCAGUGGGGAAUAUUGCACAAUGGGGGAAACCCUGAUGCAGCCAUGCCGCGUGUAUGAAGAAGGCCUUCGGGUUGUAACGUACUUUCAGCGGGGAGGAAGGCAGUGAAUAAUUUCGCUGAUUGACGUUACCCGCAGAAGAAGCACCGGCUAACUCCGUGCCAGCAGCCGCGGUAAU